RNAcentral lists this transfer RNA (72 nucleotides) under Marmota monax (woodchuck). RNAcentral describes it as "tRNA.Ala". Lineage: Eukaryota; Metazoa; Chordata; Mammalia; Rodentia; Sciuridae. The record is from RNAcentral.
GGAUUGUGGCUCAGUGGUAGAGUGCUUGCCUAGCAAGUGUGAGCAAGGCCCUGGGUUCGAUCCUCAGCACCA